Molecule: ribosomal RNA, 157 nt
Filed under: Longidorus kuiperi
Lineage: Eukaryota; Metazoa; Nematoda; Enoplea; Dorylaimida; Longidoridae
Description: 5.8S ribosomal RNA
Rfam family: 5.8S ribosomal RNA
About the family: 5.8S ribosomal RNA (5.8S rRNA) is a component of the large subunit of the eukaryotic ribosome.
Source: RNAcentral
CCAUUCUAAGCGGUGGAUCACUAAGGCUCGCGGGUCGAUGAAGAACGGGGCCAGCCCCGAGAAUAAGUGCGAAUUGCAGACACAAAGAGCAUCGACUUUUCGAACGCACAUUGCGGUAUCGGGCCUACUCGAUACCACGCCUAUGCUGAGGGUCGAA